Molecule: unclassified non-coding RNA, 201 nt
Filed under: Hevea brasiliensis (rubber tree)
Lineage: Eukaryota; Viridiplantae; Streptophyta; Magnoliopsida; Malpighiales; Euphorbiaceae
Source: RNAcentral
UGUGCAGGAGGCAAAGAGGGGUGCUGGGGUAUCAGCCAUUUUUGUGGCUCGUAAUAGAUUUGCUGUGCUUGACAAAAGUAGCAAUCAAGUCUUGGUCAAAAACCUGAAGAACGAAGUUGUUAAAAAAAGUGGUCUUCCCAUUGCUACUGAUGCAAUAUUCUAUGCUGGGACUGGUAACUUGCUUUGCAGAGCAGAGGAUAG